CUGCGGGUGCUAUACAUGCAAGUCGAGCGGACAGAUGGGAGCUUGCUCCCUGAUGUUAGCGGCGGACGGGUGAGUAACACGUGGGUAACCUGCCUGUAAGACUGGGAUAACUCCGGGAAACCGGGGCUAAUACCGGAUGGUUGUUUGAACCGCAUGGUUCAGACAUAAAAGGUGGCUUCGGCUACCACUUACAGAUGGACCCGCGGCGCAUUAGCUAGUUGGUGAGGUAACGGCUCACCAAGGCGACGAUGCGUAGCCGACCUGAGAGGGUGAUCGGCCACACUGGGACUGAGACACGGCCCAGACUCCUACGGGAGGCAGCAGUAGGGAAUCUUCCGCAAUGGACGAAAGUCUGACGGAGCAACGCCGCGUGAGUGAUGAAGGUUUUCGGAUCGUAAAGCUCUGUUGUUAGGGAAGAACAAGUGCCGUUCAAAUAGGGCGGCACCUUGACGGUACCUAACCAGAAAGCCACGGCUAACUACGUGCCAGCAGCCGCGGUAAUACGUAGGUGGCAAGCGUUGUCCGGAAUUAUUUGGGCGUAAAGGGCUCGCAGGCGGUUUCUUAAGUCUGAUGUGAAAGCCCCCGGCUCAACCGGGGAGGGUCAUUGGAAACUGGGGAACUUGAGUGCAGAAGAGGAGAGUGGAAUUCCACGUGUAGCGGUGAAAUGCGUAGAGAUGUGGAGGAACACCAGUGGCGAAGGCGACUCUCUGGUCUGUAACUGACGCUGAGGAGCGAAAGCGUGGGGAGCGAACAGGAUUAGAUACCCUGGUAGUCCACGCCGUAAACGAUGAGUGCUAAGUGUUAGGGGGUUUCCGCCCUUUAGUGCUGCAGCUAACGCAUUAAGCACUCCGCCUGGGGAGUACGGUCGCAAGACUGAAACUCAAAGGAAUUGACGGGGGCCCGCACAAGCGGUGGAGCAUGUGGUUUAAUUCGAAGCAACGCGAAGAACCUUACCAGGUCUUGACAUCCUCUGACAAUCCUAGAGAUAGGACGUCCCCUUCGGGGGCAGAGUGACAGGUGGUGCAUGGUUGUCGUCAGCUCGUGUCGUGAGAUGUUGGGUUAAGUCCCGCAACGAGCGCAACCCUUGAUCUUAGUUGCCAGCAUUCAGUUGGGCACUCUAAGGUGACUGCCGGUGACAAACCGGAGGAAGG
RNAcentral lists this ribosomal RNA (1151 nucleotides) under Bacillus amyloliquefaciens. RNAcentral describes it as "bacterial SSU rRNA". It matches the Rfam family "Bacterial small subunit ribosomal RNA", at positions 40 to 1173 of the family's 1533-position model. Lineage: Bacteria; Bacillati; Bacillota; Bacilli; Caryophanales; Bacillaceae. The record is from RNAcentral.